GGGGGGGGGCGACAAGACUCAAACUACUUUCUCCUGGGGGGGGAGAUAAAGAAAAAGGGGGCGAAAAAAGCAAGCCUCGUGGUAGCCAAGUACAUAACCUGGAGGAGGGGGGAGAUGAAUUCAGAAAGCUAAACAACAGAUCUACCUCCGGACGCUGCCGCUUGAGUCCAUUGCAAGUCCCAACCCAUUAAAGACAGCGCAAGGGGAAGCAGAGCGAUCGCUCCGGCAAAGCUCCCGAAACCCAGCGACCCCCCAUUCAAUCCCCGCCGCCGCCACCGAGCCGGGCUGCACUACACACCACAGUAAACAACAGUGAAGGCGAUGGUUACUGCUGUCAAUCUUGGCAAUCAAUGUGAGCGGCCAUGUCGAACAACAACGUGUGAGAGGAGGCUAAAGGAAAAGGAGCGACAGCCCUGUCAUCCGAUAGGGGGGAAAAAAAAGUUUGGUUAAGACUGAGACAACAACCAAAAAAAGAUCCCUGCGCGUUUCAGUCCGGGCAAAACCAGCAGAUGAUGUGAGGUCCCCAGCAGCGGCACCCUUGGGCGCUCCCCCGCAGCCUGCGGGGAGGUUUUACCUGUUAGAUCGCCCGGUUCAAACAGCAAACUCUGAAUGCCUUUUGCCAACACCAGGAACUGUCCUUUUUAGCGGAAGCAGAGGAGGAGAACAUCUGACUGUCAGUGGCAAUUGGGCAUCCUCCUGAUAGAGAAGCCAAAAUAUAUAACUAUAUAUCUAUAGAUAGGUAUAUAGAUAUAUAAAGCCGCAGGAAUAACCACCCCCACGUCCCCCAAAAUGGCAAACCACAGAAACUUUUUGUUUCCCCCAAGAAAAUAAAAGCAAGUUGGACAUGGAGCCCCUUCCUGUCUCGGGAAGUUCAUUUCCAAGGUCUCCUCUGUAAAUCUAAAGUGCAAACACUCGGCUAAGGUAGUGAGUGGCUGGAAUUUGCAUGCUGAUAAGAGAAGGCUGCUGUACUUACAGUGACAGAGGGCAGGCUGCGGAAGAAAAGCUGUUUGUGUUAGCCUGAGAGUCACCCAGGGCUGCAAUGAGAGGAGCAGAGAGGAGUGGGAGUGCCAAGCUGGAUACACCUUCACCGCAUCUCAUCACAUCUGCCAGCCUCUCUCUCCCUCUCUCUUUCAUUUCCACAUUCCCUUUGUUCCUG
Alligator sinensis (Chinese alligator) is the source of this 1156-nucleotide long non-coding RNA. RefSeq lists it as uncharacterized. Lineage: Eukaryota; Metazoa; Chordata; Crocodylia; Alligatoridae. The transcript has 3 exons. The record is from RefSeq and is a predicted model, not a curated record.